RNAcentral lists this long non-coding RNA (733 nucleotides) under Equus asinus (donkey). RNAcentral's name for it is "lncRNA (ENSEASG00005031335.1)". The record is from RNAcentral. Lineage: Eukaryota; Metazoa; Chordata; Mammalia; Perissodactyla; Equidae.
GGGCUGAAGCCUUUCCCUACUCUCGAGGUUUCUUUCUUCUGUAUUUCAGACUUUUGUCUCUUCCUGCUUGAGGGCUCAUUUCUCAGAAUCUUGUAGCCUGGAGCAGGUGCGGUUCCCGACCUUGAAGGUAAGUCACCUAUCCCUCAGAGCACAGUGUCUGCAUCUGUCACUGAGAACCCACUCCUUGCCCUGCCUUCCUCCCCAAGGUGUUAAUAAUUAUGGAGGGGCUCUACUGGGGGCCUCCUCCUACUCAUUUACCCAAGUAAGUGAGUGCACCAUUCCUACCUCCUCCUUUGGUGACUGUAAACUCAUGGAAUCUUGGGACCAUGGAGCAGAAACGCUUCUGAGGCCAUCUCUGCAACAGUCCUUUCUACCACAUUCUAACCAAGAAUGGAAAUCUGGAACUGAAGACCAGAGCAGAAGAUGACAGCGGAGACACAGUGGGCCUAUGACAAGACAGAAUAGUAGUGUCUCUGAACCUGCAGUAGUGUGGUAGUAGGUGUUUAACAACUAGCUUUGGUGUGACAGGAGCUAUGAUUGGUAAUAUUUGCUGAUUUCCAUGGUGUAAAUACUCCCAUCAUGGCCGAUUUCAAAUUACCAACAUGGACUUGAGAAGAGCUAGCACAUCAUUAUAUAAUAUUUCUAUCAUAUAGAUAUAACAGAUGUAAAUAGCCUUCAGAGUCUAGAUAAUAGUAAAAUGUAGUAAAAUAUUUAGGAAGUGAUGAAUUUUAAG